This 849-nucleotide long non-coding RNA is filed under the name Mytilus galloprovincialis (Mediterranean mussel). Lineage: Eukaryota; Metazoa; Mollusca; Bivalvia; Mytilida; Mytilidae. The record is from RNAcentral.
CAAUAAAAAAUCAAAGGAAGUAUGUGUUAACAACCAUAUGUCAUCGUACGACCUUCAACAAUAACCCAAAAAAUCAAAAUGUAAAAGGUUUUGCAUGAAAAUGGAAAGAAUUAAUACAGAACAAAGGACUUUUUUCUAAUAAAAUUAAAAAUGGAAACGGGGAAUGUCUCGUAGACAACAACCUGACCAAAGAGCAGAAAACAGCUGACGGCCACCAAUGGGCGGGAUACAGCCGGCCCUCAAACAAAAUGUAAUCUAGUUCAAUGAAAAUGGACGUCACAUUCAAGUUCAUAACAUAUAAUCGAACUAAAAUUAAAAAAAAAAUACAAAAGAAGAGGGAGGUCACUAAGCUUGGAAUUUGAAUAGUUUUGAAAUUAUUAAAUGGUUAAAAAAAAAAAUAUGAUAGAACACUUAAAAAAAAUUUCCCCAUUUUAUGAAUAGGCAGACUAGAAUUUUUCAGAGAAUGAUAACGAGAUAACAUAGAUAACACUAACAGAAAUAAAUUGUUUUAAGUUUAUAAAAGUAAACUAAUAUAGAUCAAGGUACGGCCUUCAACACGGAGUCAUUGCUCACACCGAACGGCAAGCAAUAAAGGGCCCUAAAAAUUACAAGUGUAAAACCAUCCAAACAGGAAAACCAACGGUCUAAUCUAUACAAAAACGUAAAACGAGAAACACGUUAUAUUAACUACAUAAACAAACGACACCUACUGAAUAAAAUUGAGAAUGGAAAUGGGGAAUGUGUCAAAGAGACAACAACCCGACCAUAGAACAGACAAUAGCAAAAUGUCACCAAUUGGUCUUCAAUGCAGCGAGAAAUUCCAGCACCCAGUGGCACUCUCGUCUGGCC